This 73-nucleotide transfer RNA is filed under the name Thermonema lapsum. It matches the Rfam family "tRNA". Rfam says of the family: Transfer RNA (tRNA) molecules are approximately 80 nucleotides in length. Their secondary structure includes four short double-helical elements and three loops (D, anti-codon, and T loops). Lineage: Bacteria; Pseudomonadati; Bacteroidota; Cytophagia; Cytophagales; Thermonemataceae. The record is from Rfam by way of RNAcentral.
GCGAAAGUAGCUCAGUUGGUAGAGCGCAACCUUGCCAAGGUUGAGGUCGCGGGUUCGAAUCCCGUCUUUCGCU